RNAcentral lists this transfer RNA (64 nucleotides) under Pachydactylus punctatus. Its description in RNAcentral is "tRNA-Ser". Lineage: Eukaryota; Metazoa; Chordata; Lepidosauria; Squamata; Gekkonidae. The record is from RNAcentral.
GUGGGGGAAACCAAGACUUAGCUGCUAACUCAGUACACCAGGAAUAGCCACCCUGGCCCCUUCG